UGGGGAAUAUUGCACAAUGGGGGAAACCCUGAUGCAGCGACGCCGCGUGAACGAAGAAGGUAUUCGUAUCGUAAAGUUCUGUCCUAUGGGAAGAUAAUGACAGUACCAUAGAAGAAAGCUCCGGCUAAAUACGUGCCAGCAGCCGCGGUAAUACGUAUGGAGCGAGCGUUGUCCGGAAUUAUUGGGCGUAAAGGGUACGCAGGUGGUUUAAUAAGUCGAAUGUUAAAGAUCGGGGCUCAACCCCGUAAAGCAUUGGAAACUGAUAAACUUGAGUAGUGGAGAGGAAAGUGGAAUUCCUAGUGUAGUGGUGAAAUACGUAGAUAUUAGGAGGAAUACCAGAAGCGAAGGCGACUUUCUGGACACAAACUGACGCUGAGGUACGAAAGCGUGGGGAGCAAACAGG
Molecule: ribosomal RNA, 403 nt
Filed under: bacterium
Lineage: Bacteria
Description: partial 16S ribosomal RNA
Rfam family: Bacterial small subunit ribosomal RNA
Source: RNAcentral